This 391-nucleotide unclassified non-coding RNA is filed under the name soil metagenome. RNAcentral describes it as "partial contains 5.8S ribosomal RNA, internal transcribed spacer 2, and large subunit ribosomal RNA". The stretch from base 1 to 122 matches the Rfam family "5.8S ribosomal RNA", at positions 35 to 154 of the family's 154-position model. The record is from RNAcentral.
GAUGAAGAACGUAGCGAAAUGCGAUACUUGGUGUGAAUUGCAGAAUCCCGUGAACCAUCGAGUUUUUGAACGCAAGUUGCGCCCGAAGCCACUAGGCCGAGGGCACGCCUGCCUGGGCGUCACACGCCGUUGCCCCCCCAUCUACUCCUUCGGGAUUGCGGGGGGGCGGAUGAUGGCCUCCUGUGCGCCUAGCCGCGCGGUUGGCAUAAAUACCAAGUCCUCGGCGACGCACGCCACGACAAUCGGUGGUUGCGAAACCUCGGUUGCCCGUCGUGUGCGUUCGUCGCGCAUCGAGGGCUCGAAAAAAUGCUCGGCUCCGGCUGGGCUUUCAACGCGACCCCAGGUCAGGCGGGGUUACCCGCUGAAUUUAAGCAUAUCAAUAAGCGGAGGA